This 301-nucleotide ribosomal RNA is filed under the name uncultured bacterium. RNAcentral describes it as "partial 16S ribosomal RNA". It matches the Rfam family "Bacterial small subunit ribosomal RNA", at positions 509 to 807 of the family's 1533-position model. The record is from RNAcentral.
CAGCCGCCGCGGGAAUACGGAGGGGGCUAGCGUUGUUCGGAAUUACUGGGCGUAAAGGGCGCGUAGGCGGUUUGUACAGUUGGAUGUGAAAUUCCUGGGCUUAACCUGGGGGCUGCAUCCAAUACGUGCAGGCUUGAGUGUGGAAGAGGGUUGUGGAAUUCCCAGUGUAGAGGUGAAAUUCGUAGGUAUUGGGAAGAACACCGGUGGCGAAGGCGGCAACCUGGUCCAUUACUGACGCUGAGGCGCGAAAGCGUGGGGAGCAAACAGGAUUAGAGACCCCUGUAGUCCCUGUCUCUUAUAC